UCAAAAGUGGGAGCGUCUUCCGGUUCAAAGUAAACAAGCACGACCUGACACUUUUUCAUUCAACAGCUGACAGGAGUGAUAGGCAAAUGAAGCCUCGUGAAACACCGAGGCUGCGUUCGGGAACCGAAUACUUCUCUACUAUAUAGUAGGCAAAAAGCAGUAAGUUAGGCGAGUGUAUGAGUAUGUUUGAAUCUUCAGUAUUCAUAAAAGAGUAGGCGAGAAUAAGUAGGCGAGUGCACUCAUUCUCGUGAGAUUCGGACGUACGUAUACUUCAUUUGCAUUCUAAUAUGCCUACUUACCUACUAUAUAGUAGGAAAAAAGAGUACGUGGAGAUAGAAGUACGUUUGAAACCUAAAAGAGUAGGCGAGAAGUCCCUGGAUGUCCUACUGCUUCAGCCCAGAUUCUGGAGUGUUCAUCGAUGGAUACUUUUCAAUCCCAGGAGUCCACGGGAGAGCAAUACGUCACCAUCGAAUGUGAUCGAGAACCGCAACGAGAGUGUUUACAAAUGGACAGAUGAGACGUGUGUUUAUCCGGUGCAGAGUGACUGAUGAAGGAAUGCUGCCAUCAAAGGAUUUUAAUCUUUUGUGGUGGAACAGGUGGCGGCAGCAUUUGUGGGAAGAAAGGAAGACCUGAAACAAAAAUAUAAAACUGGUGUGAGCAGUGAGAAAGGAGAAAUCCACAGCAGCUUCCUGACAAUGACCUGGUGCCAUGAAUGAGAUCCUCCAUCACUCCACCUGCCAUUACUGCCUCAUCUGGGCCAGAUGUUGCUGUGGCCUGAGGAUGUGAUUCUGUUCUGCUUUCAGAGGUUCCAAAAGCAUCAACAAAUAAAGUCAUGAAACUUUUAUCCAAAGUGACUUACAGUGCUCUUAUUACAGGGACCCCCAAUCCCCUGGAGAAAAGUUCCUUGCUCAGGUAGUUGCGAACCAGCAACCUUCUGCUUACCAGUUCAGCGGUUUAGCCCACUACAAAAGUAACAGAGCUACAACAAAAAUUAGCAUGUAGUCGAGCAGACACGGUGAUGGCCAGAUUGUCCCGCACAUGUUCUCCUGCUCUUGUCUCAAGGUUGUGGAGUUCAGUGGUGUGUCUUCAUGGUCUUUCUCACCAUCUGGCUCAACAACAUCCCCAUUGAGAAGAGUGAGAUUGUGGAGCACAGCGCAGCAGCAGAAUUGGCACAGCUGCAUUGAGAUGGCAAUAGGAUGUGGGGUUCACCAACUGUAAAUACAUGAUUGUUAGAUCAAUAAGUUUGAAUAAAGCUGUUUCAUCUGUUGUU
Molecule: long non-coding RNA, 1270 nt
Organism: Labeo rohita (rohu)
Lineage: Eukaryota; Metazoa; Chordata; Actinopteri; Cypriniformes; Cyprinidae
Exons: 5
Source: RefSeq, a predicted model, not a curated record